RNAcentral lists this unclassified non-coding RNA (360 nucleotides) under uncultured Ascomycota. RNAcentral describes it as "sequence contains ITS2". Lineage: Eukaryota; Fungi; Ascomycota. The record is from RNAcentral.
AACUUUUGACAAUGGAUCACUAUGCGGUUCACGUGGACCUGAAUGCGCGCAGCGAUGAGCGCGAAGAAAAAGCACUGACGGCGAAUCUGCAAUUUGCGGAGAGCGUGGGGGCGAAACCGGUGCGGCUGAAGGGCGAAAAUGUCGCCGACGCGACGGCGAAAUUCGUACGCGAAAAACAUGUGACACAAGUCAUAUUUGGAAGGACCGCCGUAGAAGGUUGGCGAAAAAUGCUCUACUUGAAUGCCAUCAACCGAUUUUUGCGCGACGCGCCGGCGGUGGACGUUCACAUUGUGACGCAAGAGCCGGAUUAAGGCAGGCCGCGGUGUUCGAAGCGCUUAAGCAUAUCAAUAAGCGGAGGCU